UCUGGUUCAGGACGAACGCUGGCGGCACGCUUAACACAUGCAAGUCGAACGGAGUUAUCGAGAGCUUGCUUUGAUAACUUAGUGGCGGACGGGUGAGUAACACGUGAGCAAUCUGCCCUUAAGAGGGGGAUAGCAGUUGGAAACGACUGAUAAUACCGCAUAAGAUAGUAGUACCGCAUGGUACAGCUAUAAAAGAUUUAUCGCUUAAGGAUGAGCUCGCGUCUGAUUAGCUAGUUGGUGAGGUAACGGCUCACCAAGGCAACGAUCAGUAGCCGGACUGAGAGGUUGGACGGCCACAUUGGGACUGAGACACGGCCCAGACUCCUACGGGAGGCAGCAGUGGGGAAUAUUGCACAAUGGAGGGAACUCUGAUGCAGCGAUGCCGCGUGAGGGAAGAAGGUUUUAGGAUUGUAAACCUCUGUUGACAGGGACGGUAAUGACGGUACCUGUUGAGGAAGCUCCGGCUAACUACGUGCCAGCAGCAGC
RNAcentral lists this ribosomal RNA (486 nucleotides) under uncultured bacterium. RNAcentral describes it as "bacterial SSU rRNA". It matches the Rfam family "Bacterial small subunit ribosomal RNA", at positions 18 to 518 of the family's 1533-position model. The record is from RNAcentral.